Molecule: ribosomal RNA, 209 nt
Filed under: Sutterella seckii
Lineage: Bacteria; Pseudomonadati; Pseudomonadota; Betaproteobacteria; Burkholderiales; Sutterellaceae
Description: partial 16S ribosomal RNA
Rfam family: Bacterial small subunit ribosomal RNA
Source: RNAcentral
GAAUUUUGGACAAUGGGGGCAACCCUGAUCCAGCCAUGCCGCGUGCAGGAUGAAGGUCUUCGGAUUGUAAACUGCUUUUGUCAGGGACGAAAAGGGACGCGAUAACACCGCGUUCUGCUGACGGUACCUGAAGAAUAAGCACCGGCUAACUACGUGCCAGCAGCCGCGGUAAUACGUAGGGUGCAAGCGUUAAUCGGAAUUACUGGGCG